RNAcentral lists this ribosomal RNA (469 nucleotides) under uncultured bacterium. RNAcentral's name for it is "partial 16S ribosomal RNA". It matches the Rfam family "Bacterial small subunit ribosomal RNA", at positions 28 to 507 of the family's 1533-position model. The record is from RNAcentral.
GACGAACGCUGGCGGCGUGCUUAACACAUGCAAGUCGAACGGAAAGGCCCUGCUUGCAGGGUGCUCGAGUGGCGAACGGGUGAGUAACACGUGGGUGAUCUGCCCCUUACUUUGGGAUAAGCCUGGGAAACUGGGUCUAAUACUGGAUAGGACCAUGCUGUAGGUGGUGUGGUGGAAAGAUUAGUUUCGGUAAGGGAUGAGCUCGCGGCCUAUCAGCUUGUUGGUGGGGUAAUGGCCUACCAAGGCGUCGACGGGUAGCCGGCCUGAGAGGGUGGGCGGCCACAUUGGGACUGAGAUACGGCCCAGACUCCUACGGGAGGCAGCAGUGGGGAAUAUUGCACAAUGGGCGCAAGCCUGAUGCAGCGACGCCGCGUGGGGGAUGACGGCCUUCGGGUUGUAAACUCCUUUCAGCCAUGACGAAGCCCUUGUGGUGACGGUAGUGGUAGAAGAAGCACCGGCUAACUACGUG